CCUACGGGAGGCAGCAGUGGGGAAUCUUGCGCAAUGGGCGAAAGCCUGACGCAGCCAUGCCGCGUGAAUGAUGAAGGUCUUAGGAUUGUAAAAUUCUUUCACCGGGGACGAUAAUGACGGUACCCGGAGAAGAAGCCCCGGCUAACUUCGUGCCAGCAGCCGCGGUAAUACGAAGGGGGCUAGCGUUGCUCGGAAUUACUGGGCGUAAAGGGAGCGUAGGCGGAUAGUUUAGUCAGAGGUGAAAGCCCAGGGCUCAACCUUGGAAUUGCCUUUGAUACUGGCUAUCUUGAGUUUGGGAGAGGUGAGUGGAACUCCGAGUGUAGAGGUGAAAUUCGUAGAUAUUCGGAAGAACACCAGUGGCGAAGGCGACUCACUGGCCCAAUACUGACGCUGAGGCUCGAAAGCGUGGGGAGCAAACAGGAUUAGAUACCCUGGUAGUCCACGCCGUAAACGAUGAGUGCUAGUGUCGGCAUGCAUGCAUGUCGGUGACGCAGCUACGCAUAAGACACUCCGCCGUCGGGAGGUACGGUCGCGAGAAUUAAAACGUUAAAAGGUAAGUUAGACGGCGUGAGACGUCGCCGACGGACGACGACGAGGGAGGAGG
This 604-nucleotide ribosomal RNA is filed under the name uncultured bacterium. Its description in RNAcentral is "bacterial SSU rRNA". The stretch from base 1 to 515 matches the Rfam family "Bacterial small subunit ribosomal RNA", at positions 338 to 873 of the family's 1533-position model. The record is from RNAcentral.